AAAAAAAUGCAAAUGCGAUACGCGAUUUUUUUUUUUUUUUUUUUUUUGAGCGUGGACACCAAAAUUUAUAGAAAAAGAAA
RNAcentral lists this non-coding RNA (80 nucleotides) under Palpitomonas bilix. The record is from RNAcentral.